RNAcentral lists this transfer RNA (66 nucleotides) under Myotis bombinus. RNAcentral's name for it is "tRNA-Pro". Lineage: Eukaryota; Metazoa; Chordata; Mammalia; Chiroptera; Vespertilionidae. The record is from RNAcentral.
CAAGAGGUAGUUUAACUAGAAUAUCAGCUUUGGGUGUUGAUGGUAGGGUGUAAGCUCUUCUCUUGA